CUUGGCCUCCCAAAGUGUUGGGAUUACAGGUGUAAGCCACUGAGCCUGGCCAUUAAGUCCCCAUUUCUUUGGGGUCAACUAUUAGAGCUUUAUUUUGUUGCUUUAAAGGUGUCAUAUUUCCUUGAUUCUUUGUAUAUAUAUAUUUUUGAAGACUUGCGCUGCUAUCUUCACAUUUGAAGAAGCGGUCACCUCCUUUAGUCUUACUUGUUUCUUAUUAAAAUUUUUUUAAUGUUUUUUUUUAAGAGAUGGGAUCUCACUAUGUUGCCCAGGGUGGUCUCAAACUCCUGGCCUCAAGUGAUCCUCCCACCUCAGCCUCCCAAAGUGCUGAGAUUACAGGUGUAAGCUACCAUGCCUGGCUGUCCCCCAGUCUUUGUUGACUGGCUUUGGGAGAGAAAGACCUUCAUCAGUCAUCCUAGCUAAGGAUUUGAGGGAUCGCUCAGAUCUUUUCUGUAGAUACACCCACUCUACUCCUGUUGCUCCCUCUUAGGGAGAGAAGUCUUAGGUUGUAAGCUCCUCUCAAUCCUCCAAAGCUGGGUCUACACUGAGCACCUCCCAUUUUCCCUAAUGCAGUGCUCUGAAGCAUUCAAGGUUGGGCACCUUCUCCCAGUCCAGCAGAGUCAAGCCGGCUGCUCAGAUUUGCAUCUGCCGUUGAGAUCUGUGUACUGUUUGGGAGGAGGGUGCAUGAGACACCAUAUGCUCAGGGGUACGUGGAGUGCUGGGGGCAUGGAUCAGUUGGUUGGGGGGCCCACAGGCAAGUUGUUCUGUGGGUUCAUGGGCGGGCCUCCUGGUGGAGUGUUAGCUGGUUAGUGGGAUCCAUGGCUGGCUGUUGGUUGCUAGGCAUGUCCUUCCCUUCUCCUAGCAGUCCCCAGGUGACUCAGCCAUGCUGAUUCCUCAGUGUUCUGGGGAGAGACACAGGUGGGCUAUUGGGCAGCAUCCUAUAAGGUUGGGGAAGCUGGUGCUCACUCAGCACUCAGUUUCCCCUGUGGGAGAAACCACAGGCCCAGGGGGGCCUCAUUGGAGGAGCACUAGCACAGGUAAACUGAACCUUCUUAGCCUCUUCGGUGUGCUCUCUUUGCCCUGUGGGGUGCUAGAACCUCUCAGUGUUUCUGUGGGGGCAUGAGGGCUGGAACCUCCUAUUCUGUCACCUUCCUGGCCUCUUCCUACAAUUAUUUUUAUGCUCAAAUUGCCCCCGAUUUGGACAGGGGGAGAGCCUUCAGGCUGCUCCUCCAGCCCUCUCACAUGUCCCCAACGUUGUUCAGCAUUUCCUUAUUUUCCAGCACUAGACAUUCUAAGGCUCACCCUGUACUCUCUCUGCUCUUCCCUGGAAAUAGUCAUUUCUCCAAAGAGUUCUGUUCCCUUGGAAUAGAGAAUGGUAUUUACAAACCAAGAAAUGGAUUUCAGGUGUGCCAGUUGUUUCUGGGGUGGCAUUGCUUCUAGGCCCCUUCGGUGGACAGAGCUGGGAAAGAAACUGUGUGUAUCAUAUAUAUCUGCACACGUAAGCUGUGUGUGUAUCAUAUAUAAUACAUCUGCACAUAUAAACUGUGUAUGUAUCAUAUAUAAUACAUCUGCACUUAUAAACUGUGUAUGUAUCAUAUAUUAAUACAUCUGCACAUAUAAACUAUCAUCUGUACAUAUAAACUGUAUAUCAUAUAUAUCUGCACAUAUAAACAGUAUCAUAUAAUACAUCUGCACAUGUAAACUGUAUCAUAUCUGCACAUAUAAACUGUAUAUCAUAUAUAUCUGCACAUAUAAACUAUCAUAUAUAAUACAUCUGCACAUACAAACUAUCAUAUCUGCACAUAUAAACUAUAUCAUAUAUAUCUGCACAUAUAAACUAUCAUAUAUAAUACAUCUGCACAUACAAACUAUGUAUCAUAUAUAAUACAUCUGCACUUAUAAACUCUGUGUAUCAUACAUAAUACAUCUGCACAUAUAAACUAUCAUAUCUGUACAUAUAAACUGUGUAUAUCAUAUAUAUGCACAUAUAAACUAUCAUAUAUAAUACAUCUGCACAUACAAACUGUAUGUAUCAUAUAUAAUACAUCUGCACUUAUAAACUGUAUCAUACAUAAUACAUCUGCACAUAUAAACUGUAUCAUAUCUACACAUAAACUGUAUAUAUCAUAUAAUAUAUGCGCAUAUAAACUAUCAUAUAUCUGCACAUAUAAACUAUGUAUCAUAUAUAUCUGCACAUAUAAACUGUGUAUCAUAUAUAAUACAUCUGCACAUAUAAACUAUCAUAUAUAAUACAUCUGCACAUAUAAACUGUAUCAUAUAUAAUACAUCUGCACAUAUAAACUGUGUAUCAUAUAUAAUACAUCUGCACUUAUAAACUGUGUCAUAUAUCUGCACAUAUAAACUGUCAUGUAUAUCUGCACAUAUAAACUGUAUCAUAUAUAUUUGCACAUAUAAACUGUGUGUAUCAUAUAAUACAUCUGCACAUAUAAACUAUCAUAUAUAAUACAUCUGCACAUAGAAACUGUGUAUCAUAUAUCUGCACAUAUAAGCUGUGUGUGUAUCAUAUAUAUCUGCACAUAUAAACUGUGUGUAUCAUAUAUAAUACAUCUGCACAUAUAAAUGUGUGUAUCAUAUAUAUCCACACAUAUAAACUGUGUGUGUAUCAUAUAUCUACACAUAUAAACUGUGUGUAUCAUAUAUAAUACAUCUGCACAUAUAAACUGUGUGUAUCAUAUAUAUCCGCACAUAUAAACUGUGUGUGUAUCAUAUAUAUCUGCACAUAUAAACUGUGUGUGUAUCAUAUAUAAUACAUCUGCACACAUGCUUCUCUGUAUUGAAAACCAAAUUGUCACGGACCACUCCCAUUCUCACGCAGCAUUUAGGGCUGUGGCUAGCCUUUCCCAGCUGUAAGAAACCUGUCUUUCAGCAUGAUAAACACAUUUACUUAUUUGCUCAGUCCUCUAAUAUGCAGAAAGUAGUUUUAGAAUUGCCAAAACCAUACAACUUGGAAAAACAAGCAUGAUUACUUCAAGAUGUGUUUGUAGCUCCUUCUGUCCUGGCAUUGGACGUGGAGAGAAAGCACAGACUGUUCCAAGUUUCAUUUUUCCCCUUCUCUGAAACGCAGAGAGCGUUGUUUGUUUCUGUUUGUAUUUCAUUUGGGUCCUCCCUCUAGCCUUAUUCAUAAAUUUGUAAAUGAUCUUUAACAAUCUGUUAUAUUUAUGAUGUUUUACUGCGUGCUGCCUGUGAAAAUGUUUCCUUCUUCUGACACGUUCCAGAACAACUAGGCUUUUAAAUUCCAAAUAUUCCUGUUUCACAAUAAACCAGAUGAGGGCCUCUGUUGUGCCACAGCUUUUGGAAUGUGGUUUAUUACCAAUAGAAGUGGCUGCGUGGCUUGUUAUGGUUUCAAUUACACGUGAGUAACAACCGGGGCCCUUCUGUGUCAGGUGCUGCUGAUCAAGGCUGGCUAAUGGGGACCUCGCUGUCCAGAACGGGCGUUUCCCAUGGCCCGGCCCAGCUGUUUACCACUUCUGUCUACCAUUUCAGAGGGGCUUUGCGGAGAUUAAAUGAGGUGAAGCGCUCUGAGAACCUCAGUCCUAAAGAAUAGCAGUUAUACUGGUUUUUGUAUUAUAUUUAUAUAUUCUUCUUGUUAAUAUACUGGUUUUAAUGUUCAUCGUUCUCUUGGGAUCCCAUGACAGUGAGCCUGGUGUACCUGAGGUCUGGGAUACUCACACCUCUCCCCAGUCCCAUGCUCCCCACUGUGGCAGUGCCUGUCAGGGACCCUGCUGACCCCAGGAAGCCUCGGUGUCCCCAGCGCUGGCUCUGCUCACACAGGCAGCAGGCUUAGUGUUCUCUGGCCUGGCUGCACUGACUGGACCAGGGACAGGGGAAGGGCCCCAAAGCACCCUGUUCCAGGCAGCCGGCCAGUCGUGGCCGAGGAGCUCCAUUCAACAGUGGCACCCAGAGGGGCCAGGGUCUCAUAAAGCUGGUCAGACGCCCCCUCUGGGUAGGGGUGUAGGAAGCGGCUGUGCAGCCGGGUCCCAGGUAGGGAGGCAUAGAGUGAAGGCUGUGAGCAGGAGCCCUGGGGCGGAGGGCCAGGAGAAGGCUGGGCACAGGUCCAUCGGUGGCAGCUGGGUGGGCAGAGCAGAGAGGCUGCAUCUGCACGACGGCAGGGCCCUGGUGUGGGAACAGCAGACGGGGCCCCUGGGUGCGGCGCCUCCUUCCCACAUCCCUGCUGCUCCUGCAUCUGCUGCUGGAGAAGACCACGACGUGCUCAGACCCCGGCACUGGAGAACUCCAGAUGUGGUGAGGGCUGCACGUUAGCUGCAUACGCACAUCUGGAAGGUGAGGCAGACGUGCCCACCGCCUCCAUGCCUGGCCCACAGUUGUGGGCAUGCAGAGCUCCUCUGUGGCAGGCCCAGGCUGCACCAGCUGCCUGGAGAGGCACUGGGGGCGGGGCCUCACUUGAGGGGCAGAUUCUCCCACCCAGCCAGUCCAGGCCCAGCGGCUGGAGCAUCCCGUCCAGCAAAUUGUCCUGCAAGUUGCCCUGGAGACCCAGCGUCUCUCAUCACGUCUCACUCCCCUGCCAGAUGCCUCUGCGGCAAUAACGAGAGUGGCUCUGCCUUCUGCACUGAAUGCCGACAGGUGACCAGAACAUGACACUGGGGUUAUGCAGUGCCCUGGUUGAUAUUCUAGUUCAUCAGGGAGCUUCUGGAAUGAUUUUUUUUUUCUUUUUUUUUUUUUUUUGAGACAGAGUCUCUCUCUGUCGCCCAGGCUGGAGUGCAAUGGAGCAAUCUUGGCUCACCACAACCUCUGCCUCCGGGGUUCAAGUGAUUCUCCUGUCUGAGCCUCCUGAGUAGCUGGGAUUACAGGUGUCCACCACUAUCACUCAGUUAAUUUUUAUAUUUUUAGUAGAGAUGGGGUUUCACCAUGUUGCCUGGGCUGGUCUCAAACUCCUGACCUCAGGUGAUCUGCCUCCUCAGCCUCCCAAAGUGCUGGGAUUACAGGCAUGAGCCACCUCACCCAGCCAACUUUCUUUUGCUUCACUUUUCCUCUGGUUGCCCCAUCUUUAUUGUCAAGUCCUGUUAAGAGGAACAACAUUAAAAUGAGAGCUUUCAUGGCAAAAAGGUUGCUGUGGGUUGAGCUUGCAAUGUUAGCUGCGUGUUAGGAUUCAGCUGACAUCUGUCUCUGGAGUCUCGCCCUUUCUGUAAUUCGCUUUUGACUGUAAUAAAUGUUGUACAGUGAAUGUGUGGGUGGGGCCUCUGAGUUACAUCGGCUCAAGGCCUCUUUUAAGGAGGACCCAAAUAAGAGUGGGGAUUGAUGUAUUUGACUGGGAACCCACUCAGGGCCACCAUGCAGUGAAGCUCCGGAGCAGGGGUGUAGACGCCCUGCUUGAAGCGUUGAGAAGCCCCACAGUACAAGUGUGCAGAAGUCAAGCUCCUCCUGCUGGAGCAGGGACAGGGCAAUAGGGAAAGGCUUUUCCAGAGGCAGGGUCAUUGGGACUGGCUCUUCCGGGAGGAGCUGAGGGCACACGCUGGGCAGAGCUGACCUCUGUGUGCGGAUCGCCUGGGAUGGCGCCUCCGGUGGCCUCACGAUAAAGCACCUCAGAGGCAGGAGAUGAACUUGAGACCUGACCGUGAAGGAGUGAGGAGUGAAGUCCUCUUCUCAACAGAAGGAAACCAUCAAAGAGGUUACAUAAUCAAAACUGUGUUGUCAAAAUAUUGCUGGACAGAGAUGGCGGCUGGUCCGGCACGUGGGAAUGUUGGUGACAAGAGGUCAGUUCGGUGGCUCUUGGACCUCCCAGGCCAGGAGGGAAGCGCCCAGGCCAAGGUGGGAGCCUGAGAAUAGAGAUUUCAAGAGACGCUUCUAAUGAAUGCUCAUCAGAAUGUUAUUAUUAUUUUAUUUUAUUAUUUUAUUGGGACUGGAUUGACUUGCAUUUCCUUCACUAAUCAGAAGUUUGAGGGCAAAGAUAAAUCUCAAAUAAUCACCUUGCAUUUCUGAUGAGUUAAAUGAGUGUGUUUUAUGCCCUGGUUGUAUGAGCUUGCUUUUCCACAAAUAAGAGUGGAAAUUUUAUUUUAUUAUUAUUUUGUAUUAUUAUUUUAUUUUAUUUUU
Molecule: long non-coding RNA, 6066 nt
Filed under: Homo sapiens (human)
Lineage: Eukaryota; Metazoa; Chordata; Mammalia; Primates; Hominidae
Description: HSALNT0131519
Source: RNAcentral